This is a non-coding RNA of Ixodes scapularis (black-legged tick), 71 nucleotides long. Lineage: Eukaryota; Metazoa; Arthropoda; Arachnida; Ixodida; Ixodidae. The record is from Rfam.
GUGGUUAGCUCAGUUGGUAGAGCGCUCCACCUGUAAUGGAGAGGUCCCGGGUUCGAUACCCGGACCAGACG